This 254-nucleotide unclassified non-coding RNA is filed under the name Patescibacteria group bacterium. RNAcentral describes it as "contains 16S-23S intergenic spacer region". It matches the Rfam family "Bacterial small subunit ribosomal RNA", at positions 524 to 776 of the family's 1533-position model. The record is from RNAcentral.
UACGGAGGAUCCAAGCGUUAUCCGGAAUUACUGGGCGUAAAGAGUUGCGUAGGUGGCAUUGUAAGUCGGUAGUGAAAGCGUGGGGCUCAACCUCAUAUCCAUUACUGAAACUGCAAAGCUAGAGGACGAGAGAGGUCGCUGGAAUUGCUAGUGUAGGAGUGAAAUCCGUAGAUAUUAGCAGGAACACCGAUGGCGUAGGCAGGCGACUGGCUCGUUCCUGACACUGAGGCACGAAAGCGUGGGGAGCGAACUGG